CCUACGGGACGCAGCAGCCGCGGUAAUACGUAGGUGGCGAGCGUUGUCCGGAAUUACUGGGUGUAAAGGGAGUGUAGGCGGGAAAGCAAGUCAGAAGUGAAAACUAUGGGCUUAACCCAUAGCCUGCUUUUGAAACUGUUUUUCUUGAGUGAAGUAGAGGCAAGCGGAAUUCCUAGUGUAGCGGUGAAAUGCGUAGAUAUUAGGAGGAACACCAGUGGCGAAGGCGGCUUGCUGGGCUUUUACUGACGCUGAGGCUCGAAAGCGUGGGGAGCAAACAGGAUUAGAUACCCUGGUAGUCCCAAACA
This 305-nucleotide ribosomal RNA is filed under the name uncultured bacterium. RNAcentral describes it as "bacterial SSU rRNA". It matches the Rfam family "Bacterial small subunit ribosomal RNA", at positions 500 to 801 of the family's 1533-position model. The record is from RNAcentral.